UAAGGCACACUGCCUGCUUUUAUUUAUAGGCUGAUUCAACUUGUCAAUUUCAAAUGUUUUUCAAACAAGUUUUAUUUUCUAACAACAGUUUGAAUUGAGGUGUAGGACAUUUUACUUUUGCGGACAAUACAUUUAUUUAGGCAUUACUAAGCCGGACAAACUUCCCAAGCACUUAUUGUUCCCCAGAUCAAGUAUGCAGAAAUGUGCGCAUCUCCAGUCAGAACAGGACCUGCACAAACUUUUCACAUUAUCUAGCUGGUGCCCGCUUCGCUUUCACUGUUAUUUUCAUUACUAUAUGAUAAUAACUUUUGACAUGUGUGCGUUUCUAUCAAAGUAAGUGCCUUGUUACUUUAUAAUAGUUUCUGUAUGUCGUGUUAUGACGUUUCUACUGUAGCUCCUUGUAUGUAUGGAGCAUAAUACAUUUGUUUAUAUUCCUCAUAACCGCGGACACGCGAGGUAAAGUUACUAAUUUCAUAACCUUCAUGUUAUAUUCAAUCGUGCUUAUGUAGCUAGCUACGAUCGUCUAUUAGCUCUGUAAAACAAUGUAAAUUGCGUCAGAGAAUUAUUCGCUUGUGUUGUCUUUUGAAACUACCCUGGCCUUAUGACCAUGGUUUGUUUUCAUUUGGACUGUUUAGCAUAAUUCUGUUCUGCCCUGCUCUGCCCCAUUGUGGAGCUCAUUUACUGUUUCUUAUUAUUAUAAAACUCAUAUUUGCGAUUUCGUUUUUUUAAUACAAUAUAUUAUAUUUAUAGCAGUGUUAUUAUAUUACUUCUUUGUAAUAUUGUUGUAUUGCUAUAUCCUGAUAUUGUAUUCUAAUUACUAAUAAUUCCUCUUUAAUUAUGUACUUUCAGAAACCACAUACACAAACAAUAUUGAACAUUAUUUGCCGAUAUCCCAAGUGGAACUGCACGUCUUUGGAGCUGAAGAUUGAGGCCUUUGAGCUUUUGUAUGAAAACACAGCGAGGAAACACAUAGGCCAAUAUGUAAUAGUCGUCUAUCUUAUUUGAAGUAUUGGUGGUGGUUAAACAAAAACAACACCAAAAACUUGUUUUACUACAGGAAAAAAAACUGCAAGAAAGGACUGACAAUUUAGGGAUAUUCAUAACCCAUAUUUCAUAUUCAUGCAGGGAUUGAACAACAACUGCAUUUCCACCCAACACCUCUAAAGGCAUAAUAUCAUGGCAGAUCACCGGUCAUGUCACCUGUCACGUCAGUCAGUCAGUCAGUCAGUCAGUCAGUAAUUGAUGCAGAUGUGCUCAGUAGUGCUUGAGCAUACGGUACCCCCCAAAGCGUGAUGAAACACAUAGAGGUGUGUCACAAGCUAAACACUUGUACUUUGUCAACUUCCUCUGCUUCCUUGUCCUGGUGCCAGACAGGCAGGCAGGCUUUGCAGUACCUCCAUGUGUGACUACCUUGAGCAGCAGUUUGAGGGACUUGCCGUGCAGUGAGGCGUAGGGGAUUGUCUGCAGCAGGGCGCCCCCCAGUGGAUGGGCGUCGAGGGGUGUGUUGUGCACCUCCAGCAGCUCUCGCAUUAGGUUCUCUCUGUACUUUUGGUCCUCUGUCAGAAACAGCUUGAAGCAAUCUGCCUCAGAGGGAAAUGACAAGGGGCUUUGCACUGCAGACUGGGACUCAUCAAAGCAAACAGCAGGGUCAGGAGGGGUGAAAUGGCUGGCGGCCGUCCUGCUACCAGAAACCUCCCGUACUUGAUCCACUGUCUGUCUGCCUCCAUCACCAGCAGCACCUUCAAAGGGACCUGGGACUUCGUCAGUGGACAAGGGGUCCUCUGAUUCAGGAUUCUCAAUGGCUAAAAAAUUGGGGGGCAGCUCCUCACUGUCACUGUCAAAAUCUGAUUCCUGACUUUCAUACUCAGAUUCAUUGUCAGAAUUGAUAAAAAUCUCCAGGAUUUCUGCAUUUGUGAGUUGUUUUCUUUUGAAAGACAUUACAAAUACAGCUUAGCCCACUAGCUACAUACAUAAACAACAACACUGAAUGGCUCAGAUUGGGAGUUAGAGGUUACGUGAUUGACUGUCAAUAAAUCACUAUCAGAAAAUGA
This is a long non-coding RNA of Oncorhynchus kisutch (coho salmon), 2051 nucleotides long. RefSeq lists it as uncharacterized. The transcript has 2 exons. Lineage: Eukaryota; Metazoa; Chordata; Actinopteri; Salmoniformes; Salmonidae. The record is from RefSeq and is a predicted model, not a curated record.